GACCUCCUGACAGGGGGCGCUAGAGAGCAGAGGACACGUGAAAGAUGCUGAAGACUAAAUCUGAGAGAGGGGGGCCGACCUGCACCUGCAGGACAGAAACACACAGCACAACCAAUAUUUACCGAAGGUGGGACACGCUCCGUUUGGUGAAACAGAAAAGUGUGAAGACGACAGGAAGAACUUCUUCCAGAGCGAGUUAAUCACCGUGGAGACAGACGUUACUGACCGGAGGAAGAGUGGACGCAGCGCUGCAGCGGGGACAGUAGCGGGUCCAGCAGGU
Long non-coding RNA from Austrofundulus limnaeus, 280 nucleotides. RefSeq lists it as uncharacterized. The record is from RefSeq and is a predicted model, not a curated record. Lineage: Eukaryota; Metazoa; Chordata; Actinopteri; Cyprinodontiformes; Rivulidae. The transcript is spliced from 3 exons.